CCUACGGGGGGCAGCAGUGAGGAAUAUUGGUCAAUGGACGAGAGUCUGAACCAGCCAAGUAGCGUGAAGGAUGACUGCCCUAUGGGUUGUACACUUCUUUUAUAAAGGAAUAAAACGAGGCACGUGUGCCUUUUUGCAUGUACUUUAUGAAUAAGGAUCGGCUAAAUCCGUGCCAGCAGCCGCGGUAAUUCGGAGGAUCCGAGCGUUAUCCGGAUUUAUUGGGUUUAAAGGGAGCGUAGAUGGGGUGUUAAGUCAGUUGUGAAAGUUUGCGGCUCAACCGGAAAAGUGCAAUUGAUACUGGAAGUCUUGAGUACAGUUGAGGUAGGCGGAAUUCGUGGUGUAGCGGUGAAAUGCAUAGAUAUCACGAAGAACCCCGAUUGCGAAGGCAGCUUACUAAACUGUGACUGACAUUGAUGCUCGAAAGUGUGGGUAUCAAACAGGAUUAGAUACCCGGGUAGUC
RNAcentral lists this ribosomal RNA (460 nucleotides) under uncultured bacterium. RNAcentral describes it as "partial 16S ribosomal RNA". It matches the Rfam family "Bacterial small subunit ribosomal RNA", at positions 338 to 795 of the family's 1533-position model. The record is from RNAcentral.